UACGGGGGGAGCAAGCGUUGUUCGGAUUUACUGGGCGUAAAGGGCGCGUAGGCGGCGCGACAAGUCACUUGUGAAAUCUCUGAGCUUAACUCAGAGCGGCCAAGUGAUACUGUCAUGCUAGAGUGCGGAAGGGGCAACUGGAAUUCUCGGUGUAGCGGUGAAAUGCGUAGAUAUCGAGAGGAACACCUGCGGCGAAGGCGGGUUGCUGGGCCGACACUGACGCUGAGGCGCGAAAGCUAGGGGAGCGAACGGG
This 253-nucleotide ribosomal RNA is filed under the name uncultured bacterium. RNAcentral's name for it is "partial 16S ribosomal RNA". It matches the Rfam family "Bacterial small subunit ribosomal RNA", at positions 524 to 776 of the family's 1533-position model. The record is from RNAcentral.